This is a non-coding RNA of Paramuricea clavata, 402 nucleotides long. The record is from the annotation of a GenBank genome assembly. Lineage: Eukaryota; Metazoa; Cnidaria; Anthozoa; Malacalcyonacea; Plexauridae.
UGCAAAUAGAAAUGACAUUGCAUGGCUAUGUAAUGCCCAAUGAACUUUGUAAUUUGCCCUCAGAAUCCUAUCUUUAGAUGGUAAUUAUGAUUUGGUAAUUAAUUUCUCAACGGAAACAUGAGGGCUUUUACUGUAAGUAUAUGGGAGUUUUUUUAGACAUUCAACAAAUGCCUUGUGUGUGAACCUCUUGUACUAUUUUAUAAUUCAGAAGUGUCCCUGUCAAUAUGAAGAUGAAGACACCAUUGUCAUUGAAAUAUGAGACAUUGAGACGCAGUGAAGAAAGUUCUGAUUGGAGAUGGUUUUUGGGGUUUCUCUAACCCUUAUGGUUAUUGUAGGCAGCUAGCCUAAUACCUUAAAUUAAUAUAAAUAUUUAAUUAAAAAAAUAUAAAAUUGUGUGAAAAU